GAUGAACGCUGGCGGCGUGCCUAAUACAUGCAAGUCGAGCGAACAGACGAGGAGCUUGCUCCUCUGACGUUAGCGGCGGACGGGUGAGUAACACGUGGAUAACCUACCUAUAAGACUGGGAUAACUUCGGGAAACCGGAGCUACUACCGGAUAAUAUAUUGAACCGCAUGGUUCAAUAGUUAAAGACGGUUUUGCUGUCACUUAUAGAUGGAUCCGCGCCGCAUUAGCUAGUUGGUAAGGUAACGGCUUACCAAGGCAACGAUGCGUAGCCGACCUGAGAGGGUGAUCAGCCACACUGGAACUGAGACACGGUCCAGACUCCUACGGGAGGCAGCAGUAGGGAAUAUUCCGCAAUGGGCGAAAGCCUGACGGAGCAACGCCGCGUGAGUGAUGAAGGUCUUCGGAUCGUAAAACUCUGUUAUUAGGGAAGAACAAAUGUGUAAGUAACUAUGCACGUCUUGACGGUACCUAAUCAGAAAGCCACGGCUAACUACGUG
RNAcentral lists this ribosomal RNA (497 nucleotides) under uncultured bacterium. RNAcentral describes it as "partial 16S ribosomal RNA". It matches the Rfam family "Bacterial small subunit ribosomal RNA", at positions 28 to 507 of the family's 1533-position model. The record is from RNAcentral.